Oncorhynchus tshawytscha (Chinook salmon) is the source of this 734-nucleotide long non-coding RNA. The record is from Ensembl. Lineage: Eukaryota; Metazoa; Chordata; Actinopteri; Salmoniformes; Salmonidae.
ACUUUGUAUACAUUGCUUGUACUUUACAAAGUUUUUGGAACAGAUUCCUGUUGGAACGUUCCACAAAUUAUACCCAUCCUUCGCUCACUAGCAAAUCAAGUAGACUUGCCACAAAAGGUAGUGCAGGGUCUCCCCAAACUGUAUAGUCUAGUCAAUGCUGCAAUGGAAGAAAUAUGUGCCCCAUCAAUUGUUGUUGAGUUGGAUGGCGAAAUGGGACGUCUUAAACUGAUUGUCAGAACAGCACCUUCAACAGCUGAUUGAACUGGAUCUGCCUGUAUCUUGCAAAUGCUUAGCAUCUCAACACAAACUGACCAAUGCAAAAAAUACGGUAUCGUGGUGAGGGAACAUGCAGCCAAAUGAUAGAUGAGGAGCUGGACAAUCUGGUGGACACAAUCAAGACAAGUUCACCACAAUCAGGAUGGUGAGAGAAUGUCUGAAAAUAGUGGGUCAUCGAGUCAGUGGACCCGAGUGUGGGACUCAGCGCAUCAUGUCGAUGCUGCAGGAAUACAGCAAAGAAUGGCACGACUUGGUUGUGUUGUCAGAACAUACUCUGUUCGGUGUCCUCUUUCCCUCAUACAUGUGGACACCAACCACACGUUGAUCAGUUUCAAAACGAUGUCCUAUAGAUCAUGUACACAGUGCAGCAACCAACAACAAAGCAUCAACUGCCAUUGGUUUCUUCCUGGAGUCUGUAGAGAAACUUGGCUUUCCAUUAAGGUAACCGCAUCAUUCCC